AGGACGAACGCUGGCGGCGUGCUUAACACAUGCAAGUCGAACGGUAAGGCCCUUCGGGGUACACGAGUGGCGAACGGGUGAGUAACACGUGGGUGAUCUGCCCUGCACUUCGGGAUAAGCCUGGGAAACUGGGUCUAAUACCGGAUAGGACCAUGGACUUCACGGUUUGUGGUGGAAAGCUUUGCGGUGUGGGAUGGGCCCGCGGCCUAUCAGCUUGUUGGUGGGGUAAUGGCCUACCAAGGCGACGGCGGGUAGCCGGCCUGAGAGGGUGUCCGGCCACACUGGGACUGAGAUACGGCCCAGACUCCUACGGGAGGCAGCAGUGGGGAAUAUUGCACAAUGGGCGCAAGCCUGAUGCAGCGACGCCGCGUGAGGGAUGACGGCCUUCGGGUUGUAAACCUCUUUCAAUAGGGACGAAGCGCAAGUGACGGUACCUAUAGAAGAAGCACCGGCCAACUACGUG
This 463-nucleotide ribosomal RNA is filed under the name uncultured bacterium. Its description in RNAcentral is "bacterial SSU rRNA". It matches the Rfam family "Bacterial small subunit ribosomal RNA", at positions 26 to 507 of the family's 1533-position model. The record is from RNAcentral.